AUAUCUUCUCGGCUAUUUAGCUAAGAUCAUGUUUUUAAACUGUUUUCAUCAGAGUAACUCCUGAUGUGAGCCCUCGGGCUCGUCAAUAGUAAGUUUUGGGCUUUGCUCGUUUCCUUGGAGUUCCACGCCUUCCAGGGGAGCGGGCUUUUU
The sequence is a small nuclear RNA, 150 nucleotides long. It matches the Rfam family "U2 spliceosomal RNA". From Rfam's summary of the family: U2 is a small nuclear RNA (snRNA) component of the spliceosome (involved in pre-mRNA splicing). Complementary binding between U2 snRNA (in an area lying towards the 5' end but 3' to hairpin I) and the branchpoint sequence (BPS) of the intron results the bulging out of an unpaired adenosine, on the BPS, which initiates a nucleophilic attack at the intronic 5' splice site, thus starting the first of two transesterification reactions that mediate splicing.